This 356-nucleotide long non-coding RNA is filed under the name Mytilus galloprovincialis (Mediterranean mussel). The record is from RNAcentral. Lineage: Eukaryota; Metazoa; Mollusca; Bivalvia; Mytilida; Mytilidae.
GGGAGGGUUUUGAAAUGAAUUUGAUUCAUUAACAGCUUCAGAUGUAGUGUAUAAACAGGCAACAACAUUUCAAUUGAAUUUUAUUGCUUUAAAACAUCUAGAACAAUUGAUUCUUUGUGGAUUUUUUUUAUACUUUUAGGGGAUUGAAUGAUUAAAUAUCAAAAUGGAGCUGCCAGUUUUGAUAGUAAAACAGAUUCCGUGGAGAUUUUAGUUACAUUUAUUCAGCGAUUCUACUUGGAAGAACAGAGACAACAAAAUAUUACAGAAAGAAGCAGAAACUUUACAUGUAUCCUUUUAUAUUAUUAUAUCUGACGCAUAGUUACUUUAGUUUUAAUAUUGGGUGGGUACAGGUGCAG